GAUGAACGCUGGCGGCGUGCCUAAUACAUGCAAGUCGAGCGAACAGACGAGGAGCUUGCUCCUCUGACGUUAGCGGCGGACGGGUGAGUAACACGUGGAUAACCUACCUAUAAGACUGGGAUAACUUCGGGAAACCGGAGCUAAUACCGGAUAAUAUAUUGAACCGCAUGGUUCAAUAGUGAAAGACGGUUUUGCUGUCACUUAUAGAUGGAUGCGCGCCGCAUUAGCUAGUUGGUAAGGUAACGGCUUACCAAGGAAACGAUGCGUAGCCGACCUGAGAGGGUGAUCGGCCACAGUGAAGCGGAGACGUGGUCCAGACUCCUACGGGAGGCAGCAGUGGGGAAUCUUCCGAAGGGGGAGAAAGCCUGACGGAGCAACGGCGCGUGAGUGAAGAAGGUCUUCGGAUCGUAGAACUCUGUUAUGAGGGGAGAACAAAUGUGUAAGUAACUAUGCACGUCUUAAGGGUACCUAAUAAGAAGGCAAGGGCUAACUACGU
Molecule: ribosomal RNA, 496 nt
Filed under: uncultured bacterium
Lineage: Bacteria
Description: partial 16S ribosomal RNA
Rfam family: Bacterial small subunit ribosomal RNA
Source: RNAcentral